Molecule: long non-coding RNA, 341 nt
Filed under: Androctonus crassicauda
Lineage: Eukaryota; Metazoa; Arthropoda; Arachnida; Scorpiones; Buthidae
Source: RNAcentral
GUUUAUUAAUUAGUUUAAUUAGAGUUUGUGCUUUGGAUGGAUAUUUGGUUAUGUUCUAUUCUUUAUGUGUAGUUUGCAUAUGUAGUAGUAAUACUGUGAUACUGAAGAGGGACUGGUCUGCAGGUCCAAAAACGUUAUAUAAGAAUAAAGUUUACUGUGUACUUGCUAAUAGUGUUGUUUUUCCCAAUGGUUUUUUAGGUGUUCCUGGUGGUGGCCUUUCUCUUCUGUUGUCUUUCUUUCCGGUUUUUCAAGGGGUGUGCCCGUGGUGAGGAGGGCUCCACAGUUGGUUUUUCGUUGGGCGGAUGUCCUUUAUGUUUGGCCUUUAGGAUUUCUAGGGAUUC